This is a long non-coding RNA of Hemicordylus capensis (graceful crag lizard), 425 nucleotides long. RefSeq lists it as uncharacterized. The record is from RefSeq and is a predicted model, not a curated record. The transcript has 2 exons. Lineage: Eukaryota; Metazoa; Chordata; Lepidosauria; Squamata; Cordylidae.
GGGCUGUAUUUUCAACCCAUUUUUUACUUCCUUGAGUGGGCAAUGCCAGGAGCCGCCCACUAGGGAUCAGAAUCUGGAGCAGCUUGAUUUGCAGCUGUUCCAGCCAGAAAAUUACAGGCAUGUGGAAGAGGGGCUGGAGAAAGCUCUUUGCUUGAGAGAGUUUUCUGGCUGAUGGUUCUUCAAAGUCUGCUGUUUUCUCUUUUAUUACAUGCAUCAAAUGCACCCCAACUUCUAUUCUUACCUUGGUAUAUUUUUCAAAGUUCCCAAUCUGUUGCCCCAGAACGGACCCAUCUUCCAAGCCUUCUCGGAGUCUCUGUUCAAACCGCAUCUGGACCAAAUCUCGAGCAUCCUUAUCACCUCCAUCUAGAAUGAAUGGAAAUCUGAUAAAUUUUACUGCCCCAAGAAAUAAAAGCAGAACGCAGGAA